UUUCACUUUCAGUACGCGUCCGCAAGCUGCGCUGAAUACGUGCGCGAAUUCGUUUGUUCGAUUUGGUUUUGGCUUUUAUUAUGCCUGUGUAUAAUUAGUUGAUGUGCGUGUGCUUUUUUUGUCUUUUCAAUUUUUUUUUUUUUAAUCGGCAAAGUUGUGCGGAAAAAACCUGUUCCUAGAUAUCCUGCUCAAGGACGGCAGCAGUUGCAAGCAUGUGCGUGUCAGAAGUUAUUGAAUGUUUUAAUUGAAUUUUACAGUAUUAUAUCUACAAAUAACCACUAUUGAAGAUAAUCAAAACUCAUAUUAAACAGUGCCUAAAUGUUGAAAUAAAAAGUGAUAAAAUAAAUUUUCAUAAAUCGAAAAAAUUUUCGUAUACCUAAAAAAAUGGAUCAUAACCAAAAGAACAACACAAGUGAAAACCCACGCGGUUCUGUAUCCUCCAUCAAAUCACUGGAGGUUCCGUCCACGCCUACAAGAUCACCUAAGAAGGUAUCAUUCUCAGAUGAUUUGCCCUUCAGUGAGACAACCGACAGCAUCGCUGUUGUACAAAACCUUAGCAGCAGCAAUAACAACGAUAGCAGCAGAGACAACAAUGUAGCAAGUAGUCUCAGCAACAAUAAAUCACCGACAAUUGUUACCGAAGAAGAGCUGACGGCCGUAAAUCACGUGCUGCUGCAAGCGGCUCAAUAUCUGGAACAAAUGCAUGGCACUCGUGAACGCCAAUCGCCAACAGUGGAGGCAACAGAGCCUACACACAGCCCACCUCAGUCGCAUCAUCAUUCGGAUGGUGAUAUCAGCACAACCAGCGUUCAUAUAAAUCUAAAGCAACCACCACAGAAAGUUAGACGUGCAGAAAAACGAGACUAUGGUGGCGGCAACGGCGACGGCGAUAGUGGAGCAGCGCUGUCAAAUGGCCGAGUGCAAGAAAUAAAUAUUUGCGAUGAAUUUGAUAAGGUGCAAGUGCAUAAAUUGCCAAACAUGAACACAAGUGCAAAUGAUAUAGCAACAACAGCAACAACAACAACAACAAAAGCAGCACCCGAGCUGAAGAUAGCAGCAGCAGUUAGUACAUCACCUGCUGUGCUUAAAUUGGACGACGCCGACGAUGAAUUCAACAGCAUUGAACAGUCGAAAACAUUGUUAUCGCAACAACAACAACAACAACAACAACAACAACAACAACAACAAACCAAAUCACAGCCAAUAGUUUCUAUAAACACCACACAACCCGCUACUACCACAGCUGCAACACGCAAAACAUUUACCACCUCCCUCAGCAAUUUGCAGUUGGAGCCAGUGGUGCAAGCGGAACCAACGCAACCAACUACCUCAGCACAAAUGCAAGAGAUAAGCGAAGAGCAAUCUCACGUGGCCAGAUACAUUGACCGCUACAACCUCAAUUUAGAUAAGAAUUUCAGUGCGAUGGAAGUGGAGGCGCGACGUGAAAAGCUCCGCUGGUUGCUCAUAUCCGAAUGUAGUGCGCUGCUUGCUGAGGGCAAACACACACGGGAGGCAUUCCGGAAAUUGGUGUUGCAAAGGGAAUUCCAACAAAAAUUCUUCCACCUAUUCGAUCUCGAAGGCAAUGGCUACUUGGUGCAGGAUCGUUGGAUUGAACACUUGAAAGGACGUUUAACUCCUUUGAAUUCAUCUUACAUAGAUCCUUGCGAUGAUAGACAAAUGGAUUUCGCCGAGCAACUCGAGUCUGUUGCGUAUGUAAUUUGUGGCGAAAAUAGCAAAAUUACGCCGAAAAACUUCACGGAAAUUUGGCAAGCGCGAGGUAUAUUAGAUAAAUUAUAUCGCCUCAUCGAUGCGGAUGGCACGAAUUUAAUAUCCACAAAUCAAAUAAUGGAAUUCAUUUCACACCUGACCAAUUCACGGCCACGCACCGGUUUUGAUAAGAGUUCCUUGGAGCGUCUGGAGCAACUCUUUCGCAGCACUGUGGGUAAUGAGCAGGAGAUACGGCGUGAAGAAUUUCAGAAAAUUGUUACAUCGAAAAAUCCAUUCUUUACUGAACGUGUCUUUCAAAUAUUCGACAAGGAUAACUCAGGUUCGAUAUCUUUACAAGAGUUCAUUGACGCCAUUCAUCAAUUCUCUGGUCAGUCGGCGGAUGAUAAAAUACGUUUCCUUUUUAAAGUUUACGAUAUUGACGGCGAUGGCUUGAUCCAGCACAAGGAGCUACACGAUGUGAUACGCGCUUGUAUGGAAGAAAACGGUAUGGAAUUCUCUGAAGAACAGAUUGAAGAUCUGACGACAGCCAUGUUCGAAGAUGCGGAUCCUUAUAACCGCGGUGAAAUUACUUAUGAAGCUUUAAAGAAUCAAAUAAGCAAACAUGGCGGCUUAUUAGAGAAUCUCAGUAUAACCAUAGAUCGUUGGCUUGUUCCUAUAACUCAGGAAAAGCCGAAGCCAAAACCUGGUUGUCCCACUUGUCGCAUUACCUGGCCACAUCAGCUCACAAUGGCCUACAUGAAGAAUAAUCAAGCCUUCGUUUCGUAUUUGUACAUUUACAUUGCUAUAAAUUUGUGCCUUUUCAUAUCGCGUGCCAUACAAUAUCGAGCGAGCAAUGGUUUUGUCAUCGUUGCACGUGCAUGUGGACAAUGUCUUAAUUUCAACUGUGCCUGGAUUUUAGUGCUGAUGCUACGGCACUCUCUCACCUAUCUACGUUCGCAGGGUCUCUCCUCCUACCUGCCCCUAGAUAACCAUAUUUAUCUGCACAAACUAACCGGAAUUGUGGUAUCAAUACUCAGUUUGCUACACACCAUCGCACAUCUCUUCAAUUUCUCCAUAAUUGUCGUGAAUGAUCCGAAAAUAAAUGCUGGUCAUUAUACGAUUGGUGAAUGGCUACUUACGGACCGUCCCGGUUUGUUUGGUCUUAUACCGGGCUGUGCUAAUCCCACUGGGUUGGCAUUGCUCAUUAUCAUACUGAUAAUGUUCAUAUGUUCGCAGCCAUUUGUGCGGCGUAAAGGUUCCUUUGAAGUCUUUUAUUGGACUCAUCUCUUGUACAUACCUUUUUGGAUACUGUUACUAUUUCACGGUCCAAAUUUCUGGAAGUGGUUCUUGGUGCCCGGUCUAGUUUAUAUUGUGGAGCGCAUAUUACGUUUUGUCUGGAUGAAGAGUGAACAUGGCAAAACUUAUAUCAGCUCAGGUCUGUUGCUACCCUCAAAGGUUAUACAUUUGGUUAUCAAACGACCGUUCAACUUUAAUUUUCGUCCUGGUGAUUAUGUCUUCGUCAAUAUACCAGCUAUUGCCAACUAUGAAUGGCAUCCUUUCACAAUUAGUUCGGCACCCGAACAGGAAGAUUAUAUGUGGUUACAUAUACGUACUGUAGGCGAAUGGACCAAUCGUUUGUAUCAGUAUUUCGAGAAGGAACAACAGAAACUACACAAGGGCGAGAUCAUACAGCAACGACAUGCGAUACCAACCGAUAUGGUGCGCAUAACAGAGAAGAAUGAGUCGAGGACCUCACCAACACCACAAAUCGAUUUCCUAGCACAAAACCUGGCACGCCUACAAAACAAAACGAAUGGUAAUGAACCAUCAUUGCUGCUCGCGAAUAAAAGUGCAAAUCAAAUGCAAAAUGUUCCAUUGAAACCCGCACGACAAACACAAGUCCCAUCAAAAUUGGCGCUGGAAAGCAUUAGCGCACGCGAUGAGAUUGACACUUCGUCAGCAAAACCUAACGACCGUAUACGGAGUAUUAAGAAGACACUACAACGCACCUUCUCGCGAAAGGAUGUGCCAACGAAAAAUGGCUCUGGUGGUCAUACGAACGAUGGCUUCGUCGCCGAUCAAGUUGAUUCCUACCAAAAGCCACUCGAUAAGCGAGUGCUUAAGUUGAAUUCGCGUAAGCCACAACUCGAGAAGAGUCUCUCACUGCCAGAUAUAGCUGUAAAAACAAAGAAGAAGGAACGUCUUAAAGCUCUUCGCGCACUUGGCCGUUCCGAAUCUGAGAGAUCUUUUGAUGAAUCACGCGUUAGACGAGCGCGUCUGCAGAGUGUCGGUCUAGCCUAUUUAAGCCCACAAAAUAAAUCGCUGGCACAAAGUUUCCGUUAUAUGCGUAAUAAGCCGACGAUAAUCGCUUUCAAAACGCCAAGCUUAGAAGAAGCCGAGCCAGAUUUUACAUCCAUUGCAAGAGAAAAUGGGGAUACUCUUCGGGAAUUGGAAGAAGGAAAGGGCAAUGGAGUCGACAAAACCAUAAGCACCGUAUUAGAUGUCCCAGAAGAGAGCGUAUCCAAGCCUCUAGAAGCCGACAUUUUUGCGUUCCCUCUCAACAUCCAUCAAAAAUCGCGGUAGCCAUGGCAGUUUACCACCACAGGGCAACCAUAACGCUGGUAGCAAGGUUACACUAGAUGCGGGCGUAUUAGAGAUUUUCAUCGACGGACCAUAUGGUGCACCAUCCAGUCAUAUAUUUGGUGCUCAACAUGCCGUACUCAUUGGAACCGGUAUUGGUGUCACACC
RNAcentral lists this unclassified non-coding RNA (4455 nucleotides) under Ceratitis capitata (Mediterranean fruit fly). Its description in RNAcentral is "uncharacterized LOC101449966, transcript variant X4". The record is from RNAcentral. Lineage: Eukaryota; Metazoa; Arthropoda; Insecta; Diptera; Tephritidae.